Molecule: ribosomal RNA, 256 nt
Filed under: uncultured bacterium
Lineage: Bacteria
Description: partial 16S ribosomal RNA
Rfam family: Bacterial small subunit ribosomal RNA
Source: RNAcentral
UAAUACGAAGGGGGCAAGCGUUGUUCGGAAUUACUGGGCGUAAAGGGAGUGUAGGCGGAUGUGUAAGAUAGCGGUGAAAUGCCGGGGCUCAACCUCGGAAUUGCCAUUAUUACUACAUGUCUGGAAUUAUAGAGAGGAUAGUGGAAUACCCAGUGUAGAGGUGAAAUUCGUAGAUAUUGGGUAGAACACCAGUGGCGAAGGCGACUAUCUGGCUAUAUAUUGACGCUGAGGCUCGAAAGCAUGGGGAUCAAACAGG